Molecule: ribosomal RNA, 468 nt
Filed under: uncultured bacterium
Lineage: Bacteria
Description: partial 16S ribosomal RNA
Rfam family: Bacterial small subunit ribosomal RNA
Source: RNAcentral
GACGAACGCUGGCGGCGUGCUUAACACAUGCAAGUCGAACGGAAAGGCCCUGCUUUUGUGGGGUGCUCGAGUGGCGAACGGGUGAGUAACACGUGAGUAACCUGCCCCUGACUUUGGGAUAACUUCAGGAAACUGGGGCUAAUACCGGCUAGGAGCUCCUGCUGCAUGGUGGGGGUUGGAAAGUUUCGGCGGUUGGGGAUGGACUCGCGGCUUAUCAGCUUGUUGGUGGGGUAGUGGCUUACCAAGGCUUUGACGGGUAGCCGGCCUGGGAGGGUGACCGGCCACAUUGGGACUGGAAUGCGACCCAGACUCCUACGGGAGGCAGCGGUGGGGAAGAGUACACAAUGGGCGGAAGCCUGGUGCAGCAACGCCGCGUGCGGGAUGACGGCCUUCGGGUUGUAUACCACUGUCGCCUGUGACGAAGCGUGAGUGACAGUAAUGGGUAAAGAAGCACCGGCUAACUACGUG